RNAcentral lists this transfer RNA (69 nucleotides) under Hymenochirus boettgeri (Congo dwarf clawed frog). Its description in RNAcentral is "tRNA-Arg". It matches the Rfam family "tRNA". Rfam says of the family: Transfer RNA (tRNA) molecules are approximately 80 nucleotides in length. Their secondary structure includes four short double-helical elements and three loops (D, anti-codon, and T loops). Further hydrogen bonds mediate the characteristic L-shaped molecular structure. tRNAs have two regions of fundamental functional importance: the anti-codon, which is responsible for specific mRNA codon recognition, and the 3' end, to which the tRNAs corresponding amino acid is attached (by aminoacyl-tRNA synthetases). tRNAs cope with the degeneracy of the genetic code in two manners: having more than one tRNA (with a specific anti-codon) for a particular amino acid; and 'wobble' base-pairing, i.e. permitting non-standard base-pairing at the 3rd anti-codon position. The record is from RNAcentral. Lineage: Eukaryota; Metazoa; Chordata; Amphibia; Anura; Pipidae.
GAGUUGUUAGUCCAAACAAGACAGCUGAUUUCGACUCAGCAAAUUGUGGUUUAACUCCACAACUACUCU